GGGGACUCCCGAAACAUCAUAUUUGCAAUGCCAAUAUGAUGCGUAACGGUGCAGACUACGCUGUCUUCAUCAACACUGCUCAAGAGUUCGAUGGAAGUGACUCCGGAGCGCGCCCAGAUGAGGCUGUUUCUUGGGGCAAAAUUCGAGGUUCAGCCAAGACUGUCAAGGUACAUUGCGACGCCACAAUUGCUUUCCCGUUGCUCGUCGCAGAAACAUUUGCCUCAAGAAGAGAAAAGGAAAUGGAGGUCAAUGUCGGAGUCUCG
This 263-nucleotide unclassified non-coding RNA is filed under the name Hevea brasiliensis (rubber tree). Lineage: Eukaryota; Viridiplantae; Streptophyta; Magnoliopsida; Malpighiales; Euphorbiaceae. The record is from RNAcentral.